GCACCUAGGAACUCGAUGUUUAAUAUGACUCGACCAUGGAUAUCAAAUGAUUUUGGAUGUCUUUGAGCUCGAUCUCGCAGCAAGUCCAUGGCCAAGUCGAUGUGCUGCAGCAGGAAACACCGAAAAAGUAUGAGUUAUUCAUUUAAUAAACACAAGGUCACAUAUACAUAAAAAACACGAAAUGAAUAGUUUACUUACAUCGUCAGCGAGCCAAGCUCCCGCAGUGGUGAUAUCGUGGAACCACUUGUAAGGGUCCGAGACCGUCCUUUGUCCUAUCGUGCGGCUAGCUCUGUAAAAAAGAGGGAAAUGUUAAAAUAAGCGUAGACGAGUUAGCGUACAGUGCUUUAUUAAAAUCAUACAAUACUUACCCGGGGAUAAUUCUCCUCCACUCUGUCUCGAACACUUUCCACUUGGCAUUGUCCACCUCUCUGAAUAAGUUCGGGUACGUCCCAUCGAUGAACGUCCUCCUCUUGGCCUCAGCCGUGAAGGGGGAAACAACAUACUAUGACGGCACUCUCAAUCUCUUGCCGACCACCUCCUCCGUCUCGUCAACAGCAUGUCUCUUACCCUCAAUCACGCCGUGCGUCCUCUCGACCUCC
Molecule: long non-coding RNA, 599 nt
Filed under: Olea europaea (common olive)
Lineage: Eukaryota; Viridiplantae; Streptophyta; Magnoliopsida; Lamiales; Oleaceae
Description: long non-coding RNA (OEUR_LNC015630)
Source: RNAcentral